RNAcentral lists this ribosomal RNA (442 nucleotides) under uncultured bacterium. RNAcentral's name for it is "bacterial SSU rRNA". It matches the Rfam family "Bacterial small subunit ribosomal RNA", at positions 335 to 769 of the family's 1533-position model. The record is from RNAcentral.
ACUCCUACGGGAGGCAGCAGUGGGGAAUAUUGCACAAUGGGCGCAAGCCUGAUGCAGCCAUGCCGCGUGUGUGAAGAAGGCCUUCGGGUUGUAAAGCACUUUCAGUAGGGAGGAAGGUAGUGUAGUUAACACCUGCAUUAUUUGACGUUACCUACAGAAGAAGCACCGGCUAACUCCGUGCCAGCAGCCGCGGUAAUACGGAGGGUGCGAGCGUUAAUCGGAAUUACUGGGCGUAAAGCGCAUGCAGGCGGCCUGUUAAGUCAGAUGUGAAAGCCCGGGGGCUUAACCUCGGAAUUGCAUUUGAAACUGGCAGGCUAGAGUCUUGUAGAGGGGGUAGAAUUUCAGGUGUAGCGGUGAAAUGCGUAGAGAUCUGAAGGAAUACCAGUGGCGAAGGCGGCCCCCUGGACAAAGACUGACGCUCAGAUGCGAAAGCGUGGGGAGC